RNAcentral lists this long non-coding RNA (755 nucleotides) under Triticum aestivum (bread wheat). RNAcentral's name for it is "long non-coding RNA (TAES_LNC024272)". Lineage: Eukaryota; Viridiplantae; Streptophyta; Magnoliopsida; Poales; Poaceae. The record is from RNAcentral.
GAAGUGGUGGGUAGAAUGCAGUGCAUGCAUAGUUAUUACAUCCUAUGCAGAGUUGAUUAAAUGUUGCUUUGUUCAUUGAUUAAUCUUGUUGUCUCUGCCCAGGGACAGGGAGGGGGCUAAUUUGAUGAUGGUUAGGACGGCAACGAAAUCUCCUAUGCUGGAGAUGGACUCGCUGUCGCCACGGAAGGUUGUAUAUCAAAGGGCUCCGGGCGGGAAUACUGAUGGUUGGAGCUUUGUCGGUGUCUUAUAUUAUUGCAGUAUAGAGCCUGUAUAUCGGAGCUUGUCGUUUGGGUUGCUAUAUAAUUAAUGUGAUGUUGUUGUGGAGAGUGCUACUCGUCUUAGGUUUUCCUUGUUUUGUAUCCACACAGGUGAUGCCACGCGGCAAGGUCCUGCUUCUUUGAGGAGUAGUGUAUAUAGGAGAGGUGCAUUUCGGAAUUGAGGAAAGAUAUGCUUGUUGCAGCUGUGUUUCAUAUAUCAGGCUAAUGUAAAUUUUGAAGUUUAUUAUGAGCACUUGACUUGUUUAAGAAAAAUGUAAAAUCAACCAGUCAGUUUGUUUGUUUACAAAGAGAGAGAGAGAGAGAGAGAGAGAGAGAGAGAGAGAGAGAGAGAGAGAGAGAGAGAGAGAGAGAAUUGCUGUGUAAUGGUACAUCUCUUAUUCCCCUGUCUUGAUACUUGUGGUUGAUUGAUAUGCUGAGAAAUUCUUGGCUUAAAUAUAAAAAUGGAGGGAGCAUUGUGCUCCCAGUCAUUCCUUUGCG